GACGAACGCUGGCGGCGUGCUUAACACAUGCAAGUCGAACGGAAAGGCCCUGCUUGCAGGGUGCUCGAGUGGCGAACGGGUGAGUAACACGUGGGUGAUCUGCCCCUUACUUUGGGAUAAGCCUGGGAAACUGGGUCUAAUACUCGAUAGGACCAUGCUGUAGGUGGUGUGGUGGAAAGAUUAGUUUCGGUAAGGGAUGAGCUCGCGGCCUAUCAGCUUGUUGGUGGGGUAUUGGCCUACCAAGACGUCGACGGGUAGCCGGCCUGAGAGGGUGGACGGCCACAUUGGGACUGAGAUACGGCCCAGACUCCUACGGGAGGCAGCAGUGGGGAAUAUUGCACAAUGGGCGCAAGGCUGAUGCAGCGACGCCGCGUGGGGGAUGACGGCCUUCGGGUUGUAAACUCCUUUCAGCCAUGACGAAGCCCUUGUGGUGACGGUAGUGGUAGAAGAAGCACCGGCUAACUACGUG
Molecule: ribosomal RNA, 469 nt
Filed under: uncultured bacterium
Lineage: Bacteria
Description: partial 16S ribosomal RNA
Rfam family: Bacterial small subunit ribosomal RNA
Source: RNAcentral